Long non-coding RNA from Pteropus alecto (black flying fox), 1177 nucleotides. RefSeq lists it as uncharacterized. The record is from RefSeq and is a predicted model, not a curated record. The transcript has 2 exons. NCBI's taxonomy places the organism in Eukaryota, Metazoa, Chordata, Mammalia, Chiroptera, Pteropodidae.
CACAAGAUAAGCUAUGUUGUUUAAGACAUCUCUUUUGUUCAUUCUUUUAUUCAAUAGACUUUUCAAUAGACCUUUACCGAAGAGCUGGCUAUGUCACUGAGAAUGGAGAGAAAUAGGUCAUAAGGUAGCACUGCAUAGGGAACUCUGUGGUGAUCAUCUCCAGUGUCAUAGCUCUGAGGGUCCAGAACUAUUCUCUGGAGGAAGCAGGGACAGGCAAGCUACCAGGGACAGAGCCAUGGGCCACUCCAAUAUUUAGAGGUCAGGGAAGAUGAAGAACACCAGGAAAGGAGAAUGGCAAGAACCAUCUGGAACUGUAAAGAAAAAUUACGCAAGUGUCCUGGAAGCUGGAAAAUGUGUCAAGGCAGAGCAAGCUCAACAGUGUAAAAUGCUACAGAUAGUAAAUAAAGAUGAGGACUGAGACAAGAUCAUUGUAUUUUGCAAUGUGGAGAUUAUUGGUGACCUUGAAAAGAACAGUUUCACUGCUGUGGUAGAAGCAAAACCCUGGUGGGAGUAUGUUCAGGAGAAAGUUGGAGGAAGGGAACUAGAGACCCUGAAUGUAGACAACACUUUCAAGAAAUUUUGCCAUAAGUUAAAGGGAUAAAAUGGGGGCAGUGGCCACAGGGGAAGUUAGAUCAAAGAGUUUUUUCUCCAACUUUUUCCAAAUGUUCAAACUUACGAAAAAGUUGAAGGAGUACUACAUUACCCAUAUAGGUACUUCACCUAGUUGUAGCAAUUCUUGACAUUUUGCCACAUUAACUUUCUCUCCAGAGCCAAGGGGUUUUUUAAAAAGCCUUUUAAAAGUGUGAAAUACAAUGCAUACACAGAAUGGUUAACAAAAAUAUAUGUAAUUCAAUGAAUGAUCAUAAAGCAAACACUCAUGUAACUACCACCAAUAUCAAGAAAUAGAUACUGCUGGCCAAAGCCCCUUGUGCCCCUCCUUCCCAUCAAAAGUUAACCACCAUCCUGAAUUUUCGUAAUAAUGACUUAUUGCUUUCCUAUAACUGCAUAAUAAUGAAUUCCUAAACACAAUAGUUUAGUUUGUGCCUGUAUUUGAGCUUUAAGAAUGCGAAAAUAGAGCAAUAUCCUUUUAUAUCUGACUUAUUUAGCUCUAUAUGUUAUGUUUGUUUCUUCAUUGUAUACUAAUCUAUAAUAAAAAUACGUCACCAUUUAUUAUUCA